This 253-nucleotide ribosomal RNA is filed under the name uncultured bacterium. RNAcentral's name for it is "partial 16S ribosomal RNA". It matches the Rfam family "Bacterial small subunit ribosomal RNA", at positions 524 to 776 of the family's 1533-position model. The record is from RNAcentral.
UACGUAGGGCGCAAGCGUUGUCCGGAUUUAUUGGGCGUAAAGAGCUCGUAGGCGGUUUGUCGCGUCUUCCGUGAAAACUGGGGGCUUAACUUCCAGCUUGCGGUGGAUACGGGCUGACUGGAGUGCGGCAGGGGAGACUGGAAUUCCUGGUGUAGCGGUGAAAUGCGCAGAUAUCAGGAAGAACACCAGUGGCGAAGGCGCUCUACUGGGCCGUAACUGACACUGAGGGACGAAAGCUAGGGGAGCGAAAGGG